RNAcentral lists this transfer RNA (82 nucleotides) under Microvirga flocculans. It matches the Rfam family "tRNA". From Rfam's summary of the family: Transfer RNA (tRNA) molecules are approximately 80 nucleotides in length. RNAcentral also lists the same sequence under 4 other names. The record is from Rfam by way of RNAcentral. Lineage: Bacteria; Pseudomonadati; Pseudomonadota; Alphaproteobacteria; Hyphomicrobiales; Methylobacteriaceae.
GCGGGCGUGGCGGAAUUGGUAGACGCACUGGAUUUAGGUUCCAGCGACGAAAGUUGUGGGGGUUCGAGUCCCUCCGCCCGCA